This 227-nucleotide ribosomal RNA is filed under the name uncultured bacterium. Its description in RNAcentral is "partial 16S ribosomal RNA". It matches the Rfam family "Bacterial small subunit ribosomal RNA", at positions 118 to 351 of the family's 1533-position model. The record is from RNAcentral.
UGGGUGACCUGCCUCUAGGUGGGGGAUAACCCGGGGAAACUCGGGCUAAUACCGCAUAACAUCGUGAGAUCAAAGAGGGGCGCAAGCCUCUCGCCGAGAGAGGGGCCCGCGUCUGAUUAGCUAGUUGGUGAGGUAACGGCUCACCAAGGCGACGAUCAGUAGCCGGCCUGAGAGGGCGAUCGGCCACACUGGAACUGAGACACGGUCCAGACUCCUACGGGAGGCAG